AGAUUGAACGCUGGCGGCAGGCCUAACACAUGCAAGUCGAGCGGCAGCACGGGUACUUGUACCUGGUGGCGGGCGGCGGACGGGUGAGUAAUGCCUAGGAAUCUGCCUGGUAGUGGGGGAUAACGCUCGGAAACGGACGCUAAUACCGCAUACGUCCUACGGGAGAAAGCAGGGGACCUUCGGGCCUUGCGCUAUCAGAUGAGCCUAGGUCGGAUUAGCUAGUUGGUGAGGUAAUGGCUCACCAAGGCGACGAUCCGUAACUGGUCUGAGAGGAUGAUCAGUCACACUGGAACUGAGACACGGUCCCGACUCCUACGGGAGGCAGCAGUGGGGAAUAUUGGACAAUGGGCGAAAGCCUGAUCCAGCCAUGCCGCGUGUGUGAAGAAGGUCUUCGGAUUGAAAGCUACUUUAAGUGGAGGAAGGCAGUUACCUAAUACGUAUCUGUUUGACGUUACGACAAGAAUAAGCAACCGGCUAACUCUGUGCCAGCAGCCG
This 495-nucleotide ribosomal RNA is filed under the name uncultured soil bacterium. RNAcentral's name for it is "bacterial SSU rRNA". It matches the Rfam family "Bacterial small subunit ribosomal RNA", at positions 26 to 517 of the family's 1533-position model. The record is from RNAcentral.